UGGCGGCGUGCUAAUACAUGCAAGUCGAACGAACUCUGGUAUUGAUUGGUGCUUGCAUCAUGAUUUACAUUUGAGUGAGUGGCGAACUGGUGAGUAACACGUGGGAAACCUGCCCAGAAGCGGGGGAUAACACCUGGAAACAGAUGCUAAUACCGCAUAACAACUUGGACCGCAUGGUCCGAGUUUGAAAGAUGGCUUCGGCUAUCACUUUUGGAUGGUCCCGCGGCGUAUUAGCUAGAUGGUGGGGUAACGGCUCACCAUGGCAAUGAUACGUAGCCGACCUGAGAGGGUAAUCGGCCACAUUGGGACUGAGACACGGCCCAAACUCCUACGGGAGGCAGCAGUAGGGAAUCUUCCACAAUGGACGAAAGUCUGAUGGAGCAACGCCGCGUGAGUGAAGAAGGGUUUCGGCUCGUAAAACUCUGUUGUUAAAGAAGAACAUAUCUGAGAGUAACUGUUCAGGUAUUGACGGUAUUUAACCAGAAAGCCACGGCUAACUACGUGCCAGCAGCCGCGGUAAUACGUAGGUGGCAAGCGUUGUCCGGAUUUAUUGGGCGUAAAGCGAGCGCAGGCGGUUUUUUAAGUCUGAUGUGAAAGCCUUCGGCUCAACCGAAGAAGUGCAUCGGAAACUGGGAAACUUGAGUGCAGAAGAGGACAGUGGAACUCCAUGUGUAGCGGUGAAAUGCGUAGAUAUAUGGAAGAACACCAGUGGCGAAGGCGGCUGUCUGGUCUGUAACUGACGCUGAGGCUCGAAAGUAUGGGUAGCAAACAGGAUUAGAUACCCUGGUAGUCCAUACCGUAAACGAUGAAUGCUAAGUGUUGGAGGGUUUCCGCCCUUCAGUGCUGCAGCUAACGCAUUAAGCAUUCCGCCUGGGGAGUACGGCCGCAAGGCUGAAACUCAAAGGAAUUGACGGGGGCCCGCACAAGCGGUGGAGCAUGUGGUUUAAUUCGAAGCUACGCGAAGAACCUUACCAGGUCUUGACAUACUAUGCAAAUCUAAGAGAUUAGACGUUCCCUUCGGGGACAUGGAUACAGGUGGUGCAUGGUUGUCGUCAGCUCGUGUCGUGAGAUGUUGGGUUAAGUCCCGCAACGAGCGCAACCCUUAUUAUCAGUUGCCAGCAUUAAGUUGGGCACUCUGGUGAGACUGCCGGUGACAAACCGGAGGAAGGUGGGGAUGACGUCAAAUCAUCAUGCCCCUUAUGACCUGGGCUACACACGUGCUACAAUGGAUGGUACAACGAGUUGCGAACUCGCGAGAGUAAGCUAAUCUCUUAAAGCCAUUCUCAGUUCGGAUUGUAGGCUGCAACUCGCCUACAUGAAGUCGGAAUCGCUAGUAAUCGCGGAUCAGCAUGCCGCGGUGAAUACGUUCCCGGGCCUUGUACACACCGCCCGUCACACCAUGAGAGUUUGUAACACCCAAAGUCGGUGGGGUAACCUUUUAGGAACCAGCCGCCUAAG
Molecule: ribosomal RNA, 1458 nt
Filed under: Lactiplantibacillus plantarum
Lineage: Bacteria; Bacillati; Bacillota; Bacilli; Lactobacillales; Lactobacillaceae
Description: Lactobacillus plantarum 16S ribosomal RNA
Rfam family: Bacterial small subunit ribosomal RNA
Source: RNAcentral